Molecule: long non-coding RNA, 558 nt
Filed under: Mus spicilegus (steppe mouse)
Lineage: Eukaryota; Metazoa; Chordata; Mammalia; Rodentia; Muridae
Description: lncRNA (ENSMSIG00000019737.1)
Source: RNAcentral
CUCACUGUAACACUUGCUUGUAAUCUGAAACUGUGCUUUAAGAUGUGUUUUUCUUGCACUUAACAGUCUGCUACAGGUUAUCAGCAGGAUCCCCACAUGAGGAACAGAAACCAUUUGCCCUCAAAGCCAAAACCCUUUUUCCUGUACCUUAAACCAAGCUCCUCUGUGCUACAAGGUGAUAGAUAAUCCAUGAGAGAAGAUCGUGGAAACUUCAGGAAACAGAGAGGCCCCUGCAAUCAAGCACAUCCCUGGCACCUCUUCAGUGGAAGCUCCUCUGACACCCAUCAAGUUGGUCGUCAUUAAUGCCUUAUUAAGAGAAGAAUCUUCUGGAGAAACCCGAGCAUCAAAUGAGCAGGGACACUAAAGACAGUGAAUUCACCAUGGCAUCUAACAUGUGCUCAGCUGGAGGGAACAAGAGCUUGCAAUCAAACUCUCAUAAGUACUGAGGGACCUUGGCUGUUUUACAUAUCAAGAAGCACUGAGGUAAGAUACUAAUUCUAUGACUCUGAUGUCAUCCUUUGGUUUGUCAUGCUCGGGACAUCCUACCACAGGCCUGCA